RNAcentral lists this transfer RNA (72 nucleotides) under Propionibacteriaceae bacterium. Its description in RNAcentral is "tRNA-Asp". It matches the Rfam family "tRNA". From Rfam's summary of the family: Transfer RNA (tRNA) molecules are approximately 80 nucleotides in length. Lineage: Bacteria; Bacillati; Actinomycetota; Actinomycetes; Propionibacteriales; Propionibacteriaceae. The record is from RNAcentral.
GAACGUGUCGCCCAACGGCAGGGCACCACCUCGUCAGGGUGAGAGGUGCGGGUUCGAAUCCCGUCACGUUGU